AGACAGAGGGUGCAAACGUUGUUCGGAAUUACUGGGCGUAAAGCGCGUGUAGGCGGCUUGGUAAGUCAGGUGUGAAAGCCCUCGGCUCAACCGGGGAAGUGCACUUGAAACUACCGAGCUAGAGUCCCGGAGAGGAUGGUGGAAUUCUCGGUGUAGAGGUGAAAUUCGUAGAUAUCGAGAGGAACACCGGUGGCGAAGGCGGCCAUCUGGACGGUGACUGACGCUGAGACGCGAAAGCGUGGGGAGCAAACAGGAUUAGAUACCCUGGUAGUCCACGCCGUAAACGAUGGGUGCUAGGUGUCGCGGGCUUUGACCCCUGCGGUGCCGUAGCCAACGCAUUAAGCACCCCGCCUGGGGAGUACGGCCGCAAGGCUAAA
RNAcentral lists this ribosomal RNA (377 nucleotides) under uncultured bacterium. RNAcentral's name for it is "bacterial SSU rRNA". It matches the Rfam family "Bacterial small subunit ribosomal RNA", at positions 523 to 898 of the family's 1533-position model. The record is from RNAcentral.